This 1506-nucleotide ribosomal RNA is filed under the name metagenome. RNAcentral describes it as "bacterial SSU rRNA". It matches the Rfam family "Bacterial small subunit ribosomal RNA". The record is from RNAcentral.
AGAGUUUGAUCAUGGCUCAGGACGAACGCUGGCGGCGUGCCUAAUACAUGCAAGUAGAACGCUGAAGAGAGGAGCUUGCUCUUCUUGGAUGAGUUGCGAACGGGUGAGUAACGCGUAGGUAACCUGCCUUGUAGCGGGGGAUAACUAUUGGAAACGAUAGCUAAUACCGCAUAACAAUGGAUGACCCAUGUCAUUUAUUUGAAAGGGGCAAAUGCUCCACUACAAGAUGGACCUGCGUUGUAUUAGCUAGUAGGUGAGGUAACGGCUCACCUAGGCGACGAUACAUAGCCGACCUGAGAGGGUGAUCGGCCACACUGGGACUGAGACACGGCCCAGACUCCUACGGGAGGCAGCAGUAGGGAAUCUUCGGCAAUGGGGGCAACCCUGACCGAGCAACGCCGCGUGAGUGAAGAAGGUUUUCGGAUCGUAAAGCUCUGUUGUAAGUCAAGAACGAGUGUGAGAGUGGAAAGUUCACACUGUGACGGUAGCUUACCAGAAAGGGACGGCUAACUACGUGCCAGCAGCCGCGGUAAUACGUAGGUCCCGAGCGUUGUCCGGAUUUAUUGGGCGUAAAGCGAGCGCAGGCGGUUUGAUAAGUCUGAAGUUAAAGGCUGUGGCUCAACCAUAGUUCGCUUUGGAAACUGUCAAACUUGAGUGCAGAAGGGGAGAGUGGAAUUCCAUGUGUAGCGGUGAAAUGCGUAGAUAUAUGGAGGAACACCGGUGGCGAAAGCGGCUCUCUGGUCUGUAACUGACGCUGAGGCUCGAAAGCGUGGGGAGCGAACAGGAUUAGAUACCCUGGUAGUCCACGCCGUAAACGAUGAGUGCUAGGUGUUGGAUCCUUUCCGGGAUUCAGUGCCGCAGCUAACGCAUUAAGCACUCCGCCUGGGGAGUACGACCGCAAGGUUGAAACUCAAAGGAAUUGACGGGGGCCCGCACAAGCGGUGGAGCAUGUGGUUUAAUUCGAAGCAACGCGAAGAGCCUUACCAGGUCUUGACAUCCCGAUGCUAUUUCUAGAGAUAGAAAGUUACUUCGGUACAUCGGUGACAGGUGGUGCAUGGUUGUCGUCAGCUCGUGUCGUGAGAUGUUGGGUUAAGUCCCGCAACGAGCGCAACCCCUAUUGUUAGUUGCCAUCAUUCAGUUGGGCACUCUAGCGAGACUGCCGGUAAUAAACCGGAGGAAGGUGGGGAUGACGUCAAAUCAUCAUGCCCCUUAUGACCUGGGCUACACACGUGCUACAAUGGUUGGUACAACGAGUUGCGAGUCGGUGACGGCAAGCUAAUCUCUUAAAGCCAAUCUCAGUUCGGAUUGUAGGCUGCAACUCGCCUACAUGAAGUCGGAAUCGCUAGUAAUCGCGGAUCAGCACGCCGCGGUGAAUACGUUCCCGGGCCUUGUACACACCGCCCGUCACACCACGAGAGUUUGUAACACCCGAAGUCGGUGAGGUAACCUUUUGGAGCCAGCCGCCUAAGGUGGGAUAGAUGAUUGGGGUGAAGUCGUAACAAGGUA